Molecule: ribosomal RNA, 444 nt
Filed under: uncultured bacterium
Lineage: Bacteria
Description: bacterial LSU rRNA
Rfam family: Bacterial large subunit ribosomal RNA
Source: RNAcentral
CCGAGGAAAAGAAAUCAACCGAGGGAUUCCCCCAAGUAGUGGCGAGCGAACGGGGAUGAGCCUGCACGACUAAAACCGAUUACUUAGCAGAACAGUCUGGAAAGGCUGGCGAUAGUGGGUGAUAGCCCCGUAUGCGAAAAGUAGUUGGCGGGUCUGAGCGUGCGACAAGUAGGGCGGGACACGAGAAAAUCCUGUCUGAAGAUGGGGGGACCAUCCUCCAAGGCUAAAUACUCGUGAUCGACCGAUAGUGAACCAGUACCGUGAGGGAAAGGCGAAAAGAACCCCGGGAGGGGAGUGAAAUAGAUCCUGAAACCGCAUGCAUACAAACAGUGGGAGCCUCGCAAGGGGUGACUGCGUACCUUUGAUAAUGGGUCAGCGACUUACGUUCAGUAGCAAGCUUAACCGGAUAGGGGAGCGUAGCGAAAGCGAGUCUGAUAAGGGCGA